UGCCGGGACCAUCCGGUAAGGCUAAAUACUCCCGAGAGACCGAUAGCGAACCAGUACUGUGAAGGAAAGGUGAAAAGAACCCCGAGCAGGGGAGUGAAAUAGUUCCUGAAACCAUGCGCCUACAAGCGGUCGGAGCAUCGUAAGAUGUGACGGCGUGCCUUUUGCAUAAUGAUCCUACGAGUUACCGUCACUGGCGAGGUUGAGUGUCAUGAGACACGUAGCCGCAGUGAAAGCGAGCCUGAAGAGGGCGCACAGUCAGUGGGGGUAGACGCGAAACCAAGUGAUCUACACUUGGCCAGGAUGAAGUCCCGGUAACACGGGAUGGAGGUCCGCACCAAUAAGCGUUGAAAAGCUUCUGGAUGAGCCGAGUGUAGGAGUGAAAGGCCAAUCAAACUUGGAGAUAGCUCGUACUCCCCGAAAGGCAUUUAGGUGCCGCGUCGGAUGGUCACCGUGAGAGGUAGAGCGACCGAUAGGACAAGAGGGCUUCACCGCCUAUCGAGUCCUGACGAACUCCGAAUGCUCACGGUCUGCAGUCCGGCAGUAAGGGGGCGGGUGCUAAGGUCCGUCCCCGAGAGGAGAAGAAUCCAGACCGCCGUCUAAGGUCCCGGAGUUCUGCCUGAGUUAGUCUAACGAAGUCUGGUCCCUAUGACAGCUAGGAUGUUGGCUUGGAAGCAGCCAUUCAUUCAAAGAGUGCGUAACAGCUCACUAGUCGAGGGUCCGGGCAUGGAUAAUAAUCGGGUAUAAGGCAGACACCGAAGGCGCGGGAUAGCAAUUAUAAAAGUAUCGGUAGGGGAGCAUACUCACAGCGUCGAAUGGUGUACGUAAGUUAUCCUGGAGCGGUGAGUAAAGCAAAUGUAGGAAUAAGUAACGAUAAGGAGGGUUAGAUUCCCUCCCGCUGUAAGACCAAGGUUUCCCGGGCAAUGCCAAUCAGCCCGGGGUCAGUCGGGUCCUAAGUCUAAGCCGAACGGCGAUGGCGAUGGCAGAGACGGUUAAUAUUCCGUCACUGCCGCAUGGGGCGACGUGGAGACGGAGCAGUGAAACCACCGCGGGGCGACGGAAGUCCCCGUUGAAGGGUGUAGGUGUUGAGGAGAGCAGGCAAAUCCACUCUCCGAGCUGAACCUGAUAGUACGGAGUCCUCCUCGGAGGAAUCUGAUAGUGUGGGUAAUCAUACUCCCGAGAAAAUCCGCUAAGCUUAACCCAUGCGGCACCCGUACCGCAAACGGACACACGUGGUCGGGUAGAACAUACUAAGGCGUUGAGAGAUUCAUGGUUAAGGAACUAGGCAAAUUGACCCUGUAACUUCGGGAUAAAGGGUCCUCGUGAUGAGCGAGGCGCAGAGAAUAGGUCCAGGCAACUGUUUAACAAAAACACAGGGCUGUGCAAACUCGAAAGAUGACGUAUACAGCCUGACACCUGCCCGGUGCCGGAAGGUUAAGAGGAGAUGUCACUAGCAAUAGGAAGCAUUGAAUUGAAGCCCCGGUAAACGGCGGCCGUAACUAUAACGGUCCUAAGGUAGCGAAAUUCCUUGUCGGGUAAGUUCCGACCUG
RNAcentral lists this ribosomal RNA (1547 nucleotides) under human gut metagenome. RNAcentral's name for it is "bacterial LSU rRNA". It matches the Rfam family "Bacterial large subunit ribosomal RNA", at positions 445 to 1990 of the family's 2925-position model. The record is from RNAcentral.